GUUCCUUAUGGACAUCUCUGGUGAAUAAUCUGAGAAGGCCUCACUUAUAAUUUGGCUUGAAGAAAACAUGAGAGCAAGUCAUGCAAUGUUCAAGUAAGAGUGCAGCAGUCAGAAGAAAAAGCUAUGCAAGGGCCUUAAGGUUGAAAGUGUUCUUAGUGUGUUUGAGAAACAUCAAGGAAUGUGCAAAAGGCACAAUGAUAGAAGAUGAGAUCAGAGAGGGGAAGUAAAUUCAACAACAGAAAUUGAGGAUAAGGAACGUGGUGUUGCAGUUCAAACCAUUUCCAGCCAAAAUGGACUCUGGUCACAAACAAAUAGUCAUAACAAUCCAAACUGGUGGCUGAAUAGAGUUCUGAAGUUUUGAGAAAGAGGUAAAGAUAUGAAAUAGUUGUCUAGGAGCAGGCAGAAAAAUGGCUUAGAGAAAUUAGAAUUGCUACUUAGCACUAAGGGGCCACUUGAGAUUAGAGGUGAUACAUGAAGAGUGAGAUUUGAACUGAGUUUUAAAGAAUGUUAAGAACUUGG
Molecule: long non-coding RNA, 519 nt
Filed under: Pongo abelii (Sumatran orangutan)
Lineage: Eukaryota; Metazoa; Chordata; Mammalia; Primates; Hominidae
Description: lincRNA
Source: RNAcentral